RNAcentral lists this ribosomal RNA (253 nucleotides) under uncultured bacterium. Its description in RNAcentral is "partial 16S ribosomal RNA". It matches the Rfam family "Bacterial small subunit ribosomal RNA", at positions 524 to 776 of the family's 1533-position model. The record is from RNAcentral.
UACGGGGGGAGCAAGCGUUGUUCGGAUUUACUGGGCGUAAAGGGCGCGUAGGCGGCGUGACAAGUCACUUGUGAAAUCUCCGGGCUUAACCCGGAGCGGUCAAGUGAUACUGUCGUGCUAGAGUGCGGAAGGGGCUACUGGAAUUCUCGGUGUAGCGGUGAAAUGCGUAGAUAUCGAGAGGAACACCUGCGGCGAAGGCGGGUAGCUGGGCCGACACUGACGCUGAUGCGCGAAAGCCAGGGGAGCGAACGGG